Molecule: ribosomal RNA, 384 nt
Filed under: uncultured prokaryote
Description: bacterial SSU rRNA
Rfam family: Archaeal small subunit ribosomal RNA
Source: RNAcentral
GCGAAAACUUUACAAUGCUGGCAACAGCGAUAAGGGAACCUCGAGUGCCAGGUUACAAAUCUGGCUGUCGAGAUGCCUAAAAAGCAUUGCAUAGCAAGGGCCGGGCAAGACCGGUGCCAGCCGCCGCGGUAACACCGGCGGCUCGAGUGGUAACCGUUAUUAUUGGGUCUAAAGGGUCUGUAGCCGGCCGGAUAAGUCUCUUGGGAAAUCCAGCAGCUUAACUGUUGGGCUUUCAGGAGAUACUGUCUGGCUCGAGGCCGGGAGAGGUGAGAGGUACUUCAGGGGUAGGGGUGAAAUCUUGUAAUCCUUGAAGGACCACCAGUGGCGAAGGCGUCUCACCAGAACGGACCUGACGGCAAGGGACGAAAGCUAGGGGCACGAACC